CAAGGAAAGAGAAAUGAAGGUGCAUGGAAUUGUGUUUUUGUUGUGGGAAUGUGUAGAAUGGUUAAGAAGAAAAGACUCUACCUUGCGGCAGAAUGUGUCUUCCUCCCUUCUCCCUAAACUGUCCCCCUGAAUGUGUCUUUGGAUGGAUAUAUUUAUAGGCUAGGGAGAGGAUGUAGUGGGUGGUGGUAAUGAGUGGAUGUAGUGGUAGGUGAAUGUGUUGG
RNAcentral lists this long non-coding RNA (221 nucleotides) under Malus domestica (apple). RNAcentral's name for it is "long non-coding RNA (MDOM_LNC011943)". The record is from RNAcentral. Lineage: Eukaryota; Viridiplantae; Streptophyta; Magnoliopsida; Rosales; Rosaceae.